RNAcentral lists this long non-coding RNA (249 nucleotides) under Mytilus galloprovincialis (Mediterranean mussel). Lineage: Eukaryota; Metazoa; Mollusca; Bivalvia; Mytilida; Mytilidae. The record is from RNAcentral.
UAUAUACUGUAACAAUUUCUUGCUGUGGAUGAUAUUCAAUUGGUUUGCAUGAGUUGGGAACACGUCAAGAGGGGGAGACGGAUUAUAUAUAGAUAGUCUAACGGUAUUGGAAUUAACUAAUUUAAAAAUUGAAUUGAAUUCAAACUAACUGGUGGUGUUUAUCGACUACGAGGCCUUACCAGACAGUCAAGGUACAGUUUAAAACCACCAGUUAGCUGGAAUUCACGUUUGCGAAUAGGUUCUAACAUG